RNAcentral lists this transfer RNA (84 nucleotides) under Stegodyphus dumicola. RNAcentral describes it as "tRNA-Leu". It matches the Rfam family "tRNA". From Rfam's summary of the family: Transfer RNA (tRNA) molecules are approximately 80 nucleotides in length. Their secondary structure includes four short double-helical elements and three loops (D, anti-codon, and T loops). The record is from RNAcentral. Lineage: Eukaryota; Metazoa; Arthropoda; Arachnida; Araneae; Eresidae.
GUCAGGAUGGCCGAGCGGUCUAAGGCGCCGGAUUUAAGCUCUGGUUCUCGAAAGAGAGCGUGGGUUCGAACCCCACUCCUGACA